ACUCCUACGGGAGGCAGCAGUAGGGAAUCUUCCACAAUGGACGAAAGUCUGAUGGAGCAACGCCGCGUGAACGAUGAAGGCUUUCGGGUCGUAAAGUUCUGUUGUAAGGGAAGAACAAGUGCCGCAGGCAAUGGCGGCACCUUGACGGUACCUUGCGAGAAAGCCACGGCUAACUACGUGCCAGCAGCCGCGGUAAUACGUAGGUGGCAAGCGUUGUCCGGAAUUAUUGGGCGUAAAGCGCGCGCAGGCGGCCUCUUAAGUCUGAUGUGAAAGCCCCGGCUCAACCGGGGGAGGGCCAUUGGAAACUGGGAGGCUUGAGUAUAGGAGAGAAGAGUGGAAUUCCACGUGUAGCGGUGAAAUGCGUAGAGAUGUGGAGGAACACCAGUGGCGAAGGCGACUCUUUGGCCUAUAACUGACGCUGAGGCGCGAAAGCGUGGGGAGCAAACA
This 447-nucleotide ribosomal RNA is filed under the name uncultured bacterium. RNAcentral describes it as "bacterial SSU rRNA". It matches the Rfam family "Bacterial small subunit ribosomal RNA", at positions 335 to 774 of the family's 1533-position model. The record is from RNAcentral.